This 694-nucleotide ribosomal RNA is filed under the name uncultured bacterium. RNAcentral describes it as "bacterial SSU rRNA". It matches the Rfam family "Bacterial small subunit ribosomal RNA", at positions 32 to 715 of the family's 1533-position model. The record is from RNAcentral.
AACGCUAGCUACAGGCUUAACACAUGCAAGUCGAGGGGCAGCAUGAACUUAGCUUGCUAAGUUUGAUGGCGACCGGCGCACGGGUGAGUAACGCGUAUCCAACCUUCCGUACACUCAGGAAUAGCCUUUCGAAAGAAAGAUUAAUACCUGAUGGUAUGAUGAGAUUGCAUGAAAUCAUCAUUAAAGAUUCAUCGGUGUACGAUGGGGAUGCGUUCCAUUAGAUAGUAGGCGGGGUAACGGCCCACCUAGUCGACGAUGGAUAGGGGUUCUGAGAGGAAGGUCCCCCACAUUGGAACUGAGACACGGUCCAAACUCCUACGGGAGGCAGCAGUGAGGAAUAUUGGUCAAUGGACGAGAGUCUGAACCAGCCAAGUAGCGUGAAGGAUGACUGCCCUAUGGGUUGUAAACUUCUUUUAUAAGGGAAUAAAGUGAGGGACGUGUCCCUUUUUGUAUGUACCUUAUGAAUAAGGAUCGGCUAACUCCGUGCCAGCAGCCGCGGUAAUACGGAGGAUCCAAGCGUUAUCCGGAUUUAUUGGGUUUAAAGGGAGCGUAGGUUGACAUAUAAGUCAGCUGUGAAAGUUUACGGCUCAACCGUGAAAUUGCAGUUGAUACUGUAUGUCUUGAGUGUACAAGAGGUGGGCGGAAUUCGUGGUGUAGCGGUGAAAUGCUUAGAUAUCACGAAGAACUCCGAUUG